GGUUGCGAUCAUACCAGUAUUAAUGCAUCGGAUCCCAUUAGAACUCCGCAGUUAAGCAUGCUUGGGCGAGAGUAGUACUAGGAUGGGUUACCCCCUGGGAAGUCCUCGUGUUGCAACCCC
Molecule: ribosomal RNA, 120 nt
Filed under: Helianthus annuus (common sunflower)
Lineage: Eukaryota; Viridiplantae; Streptophyta; Magnoliopsida; Asterales; Asteraceae
Source: RNAcentral